RNAcentral lists this ribosomal RNA (289 nucleotides) under uncultured bacterium. RNAcentral's name for it is "partial 16S ribosomal RNA". It matches the Rfam family "Bacterial small subunit ribosomal RNA", at positions 773 to 1060 of the family's 1533-position model. The record is from RNAcentral.
GUGGAUUAGAUACCCUGGUAUUCCUAGCCCUAAACGAUCAGGACUUGGGGUGCCACCCGUUCGGGUGUCGUCCCGGAGCUAACGCGUUAAGUCCUGCACCUGGGGAGUACGGUCGCAAGACUGAAACUCAAAGGAAUUGACGGGGGCCCGUACAAGCGGUGGAACAUGUGGUUCAAUUCGACGCUACGCGAGGAACCUUACCUGGGCUCGAAAUGCUUCUGACAAGCUGUGGAAACACGGCCUUCCCGCAAGGGACAGGAGUAUAGGCGCUGCAUGGUUGUCGACAGCU